GCUCUUAAUCGAGUGUCUAGGGAUGCUAGCGGGUUUACUUUGAAAAAAUUAGAGUGCUCAAAGCAGGCUAUUACGCUUGAAUAUUCGUGCAUGGAAUAAUAGAAUAGGAAGUUGUUUCUAUUUUGUUGGUUUUCGGAAAUCGACUUAAUGAUUAAUAGGGACAGUCGGGGGCAUUUGUAUUCAAACAACAGAGGUGAAAUUCUUGGACCGUUUGAAGACAAGCUACUGCGAAAGCAUUUGCCAAGAAUGCUUUCAUUAAUCAAGAACGAAAGUUAGAGGUUCGAAGGCGAUUAGAUACCGCCCUAGUUCUAACCAUAAACGAUGCCAGCUAGCGAUCUGAGGACGUUUUUUUUGUAGACUCCUCAGGAAGCUUCCGGGAAACCAAAGCGUGUGGGUUCCGGGGGAAGUAUGGUUGCAAAGCUGAAACUUGAAGGAAUUGACGGAAGGGCACCACCAGGAGUGGAGCCUGCGGCUUAAUUUGACUCAACACGGGAAAUCUCACCAGGCCCGGACACUGGAAGGAUUGACAGAUUGAGAGCUCUUUCUCGAUUCGGUGGGUGGUGGUGCAUGGCCGUUCUUAGUUGGUGGAGUGAUUUGUCUGGUUAAUUCCGAUAACGAACGAGACUCUGUCCUGCUAAAUAGUGUCAGCCUCUCUUUUGGGCUGACAAUUCUUCUUAGAGGGACUGGCGGCUCCUAGCCGCACGAGAUAGAGCAAUAACAGGUCUGUGAUGCCCUUAGAUGUUCUGGGCCGCACGCGCGCUACACUGAAUAGAUCAGCGUGUUCUCCCUUUCUGAGAAGAACGGGUAAACCGCUGAACCCUAUUCGUGGUAGGGAUCGGGGCUUGCAAUUAUUCCCCGUGAACCAGGAAUUCCCAGUAGGCGCGAGUCAUAAGCUCGCGUCGAUUACGUCCCUGCCCUUUGUACACACCGCCCGUCGCUACUACCGAUUGAAUGGCU
Molecule: ribosomal RNA, 957 nt
Filed under: uncultured eukaryote
Lineage: Eukaryota
Description: SSU rRNA
Rfam family: Eukaryotic small subunit ribosomal RNA
Source: RNAcentral